This 73-nucleotide transfer RNA is filed under the name Chytridium lagenaria. Its description in RNAcentral is "tRNA-Lys". It matches the Rfam family "tRNA". Rfam says of the family: Transfer RNA (tRNA) molecules are approximately 80 nucleotides in length. Their secondary structure includes four short double-helical elements and three loops (D, anti-codon, and T loops). RNAcentral also lists the same sequence under 2 other names. The record is from RNAcentral. Lineage: Eukaryota; Fungi; Chytridiomycota; Chytridiomycetes; Chytridiales; Chytridiaceae.
GCCCGGCUAGCUCAAUCGGUAGAGCGUCAGACUCUUAAUCUGAAGGUUGUGGGUUCGACCCCCACGUUGGGCG